AAUGAACGCUAGCGAUAUGCUUAACACAUGCAAGUCGAAUGAAUAAGAUUCAUGGCACACGGGUGAGUAAAAUAUAAGAAUUUGCCCAUAGCAUCCAGCAAAAUAGGUUACUAUUAAAUAUGGAAUAUUUAAAGAAAUUGUAUUACUCUGUAACACCUUACUACCAUAGGGUAUAAAGUAAUAGUAAUAUUUUUGGCUAUAGAUAAGCUUAUAUAGGAUUAGGUAGUUGGAGUGGUAAAGGCACACCAAGCCUACGAUCCUUAGUUGGUUUGAGAGAACGACCAGCCACAUUGGAACUGAGAUACGGUCCAGACUGGGUUAUCUAGGCAGCAGUGAGGAAUAU
Molecule: ribosomal RNA, 343 nt
Filed under: uncultured bacterium
Lineage: Bacteria
Description: bacterial SSU rRNA
Rfam family: Bacterial small subunit ribosomal RNA
Source: RNAcentral